Molecule: ribosomal RNA, 1440 nt
Filed under: Serratia sp. (in: enterobacteria)
Lineage: Bacteria; Pseudomonadati; Pseudomonadota; Gammaproteobacteria; Enterobacterales; Yersiniaceae
Description: bacterial SSU rRNA
Rfam family: Bacterial small subunit ribosomal RNA
Source: RNAcentral
GGCAUGCGGCAGCUUACCAUGCAGUCGAGCGGAUGCAGGUGCAGCUUGUUCCCUGGGUGGCCAGAGGGGGACGGGUGGCUUAUGUCUCUGCCUCUGACUGAUGGACGGGGAUAACUACGGGAAACUAAUACUAAUACCGUCCAACGGCACAAGGCCAGGGAUGGGGAGCUUCCGUCCUCUUGCCAUUGAAUGUGCCUCGGAUUAAUUAGCUGGUGGGGUAAAGGCCGACCCACGUAAGCAACUAUCCCUAGCUGGACUGAAAGAACCACCACCCUGGCUGGGACUGACACACCGUCCUCACUCCUACGGCAGGCAUGGGUGGGAAAUAUUGAUGAAUGGAACCCUGCCUGAUCCAUGCAUGCCGCGUGAGUGAAGAAUGCCUUCUGGUUGGAAAGUUAAUCCAGGAGGAAGCUCUUUUGUGAAAUUCCUACACUGAUUGGACGUUGCUACUCGAAUAAGAACCACCGGCUUCUGUGCUGCCAGCCGCCGCGGUAAUAAGGAGGGUGCAAGCGUUAAUCUUAAUUACUGGUAAUAAAGCGGUAGCAGGUCGAUUAAUAAGUCUGAUAUCUCCCGGUCUUAUCUUGGGAAUUGCUAUUUGCUACUGGCUACUAGAGUUCUCAGAGGAUGGGGUAGAAUUCCGUGUUGCAGCGGUGAAAUGCGUAGAGAUCUGGAAGGAAUACCGGUGGCGAAGGCAGCCCCCUGGACUAAACACUGACGCUCAGGUGCGAAAGCGUGGGGAGCAAACAGGAUUAGAUACCCUGGUAGUCCAUGCUGUAAACGAUGUCUAAUUGGAGGUGUGCCUUUGAGGCGUGAGUUCCGAGCUAACGCGAUAAUUAGACCGCCUGGGGAGUACGGUCGCAAGAUUAAAACUCAAAUGAAUUGACGGGGGCCCGCACAAGCGGUGGAGCAUGUGGUUUAAUUCGAUGCAACGCGAAGAACCUUACCUGCUCUUGACAUCGUGGAAACUUUCCAGAGAUGGAUUGGUGCCUUCGGGAAUUUACAUACAGGUGCUGCAUGGCUGUCGUCAGCUCGUGUUGUGAAAUGUUGGGUUAAGUCCCGCAACGAGCGCAACCCUUUUCCUUUGUUGCCAGCGUUUCGGCUGGGAACUUAAAGGAUACUGCCAGUGCCAAACUGGAGGAAGGUGGGGAUGACGUCAAGUCAUCAUGGCCCUUACGACCAGGGCUACACACGUGCUACAAUGGUGGGUACAAAGGGUAGCUACCUAGCGAGAGCAAGCUAACCUCAUAAACCGAUUGUAGUCCGGAUUGGAGUCUGCAAUUCGACUCCAUGAAGUCGGAUCGCUAGUUAUUGGGGAUCAGAAUGCCGCGGUGAAUACGUUCCCCGGGCCUGUACCACACCGCCCGCACACCCAUGGGAUUUGUUGCCCCAGAAGUAAGGUAGCUAAACGCUCGGAGGCGCUACCAAUAGUGUAUCAUCGUG